Molecule: ribosomal RNA, 709 nt
Filed under: uncultured archaeon
Lineage: Archaea
Description: bacterial SSU rRNA
Rfam family: Archaeal small subunit ribosomal RNA
Source: RNAcentral
GCUUGGGACCGGGAGGCUUGAAGGGUACGUCCGGGGUAGGAGUGAAAUCCUGUAAUCCUGGACGGACCGCCGAUGGGGAAACCACUUCAAGAGAACGGAUCCGACAGUGAGGGACGAAAGCUAGGGUCUCGAACCGGAUUAGAUACCCGGGUAGUCCUAGCUGUAAACGAUGCCUGUUAGGUGUGACUCCCACUACGAGUGGGUGUUGUGCCGUAGGGAAGCCGCUAAACAGGCCGCCUGGGAAGUACGUCUGCAAGGAUGAAACUUAAAGGAAUUGGCGGGGGAGCACUACAACCGGAGGAGCCUGCGGUUUAAUUGGACUCAACGCCGGACAUCUCACCAGCAUCGACUGUGGUAAUGACGGUCAGGUUGAUGACCUUACCCGAGCCACAGAGAGGAGGUGCAUGGCCGCCGUCAGCUCGUACCGUGAGGCGUCCUGUUAAGUCAGGCAACGAGCGAGACCCGCAUCCUUACUUGCCAGCAGCACCGCGAGGUGGCUGGGGACAGUAGGGAGACCGCCGUGGCUAACACGGAGGAAGGAACGGGCAACGGUAGGUCAGUAUGCCCCGAAUAUGCUGGGCAACACGCGGGCUACAAUGGCCGAGACAAUGGGUUCCAACGCCGAGAGGCGACGGUAAUCUCAGAAACUCGGUCGUAGUUCGGAUUGUGGACUGAAACUCGUCCACAUGAAGCUGGAUUCGGUAGUAAU